RNAcentral lists this ribosomal RNA (253 nucleotides) under uncultured bacterium. RNAcentral's name for it is "partial 16S ribosomal RNA". It matches the Rfam family "Bacterial small subunit ribosomal RNA", at positions 524 to 776 of the family's 1533-position model. The record is from RNAcentral.
UACGAGGGGGGCAAGCGUUGUUCGGAAUUAUUGGGCGUAAAGGGCGCGUAGGCGGUGCGGUAAGUCUCAUGUGAAAUCUCCGGGCUCAACUCGGAGCCUGCAUGAGAAACUGCCGUGCUCGAGUGUGGAAGAGGUGAGUGGAAUUCCCGGUGUAGCGGUGAAAUUCGUAGAUAUCGGGAGGAACACCGGUGGCGAAGGCGGCGAUCUGGGUAGAUACUGACGCUGAGGUGCGAAAGCGUGGGGAGCAAACAGG